AUGAGCGGACAAUUCCAAAGAAAUGGUAAGAUAUGGGUAAGAGUUCUCGCAGAUCUUCCUAUUACGGGGAAACCCACAGAAGUUCGAAUGGGAAGAGGAAAUCCAAUUUCGGUAAGACUUGAUCUAUCAUCUUAUUCUUUUUGUUUCUUUUUGGGGGGGACUGAUAAUAGUUCUCAUUGUGAUUGCGGCUGUAGUUUUAUAUCCCUCUUUGAUCGUGACAGAUCAAGCUAG
RNAcentral lists this ribosomal RNA (231 nucleotides) under Triticum aestivum (bread wheat). Its description in RNAcentral is "partial small subunit ribosomal RNA". Lineage: Eukaryota; Viridiplantae; Streptophyta; Magnoliopsida; Poales; Poaceae. The record is from RNAcentral.